This 105-nucleotide small nucleolar RNA is filed under the name Moschus moschiferus (Siberian musk deer). RNAcentral describes it as "Small nucleolar RNA U13 (ENSMMSG00000015341.1)". It matches the Rfam family "Small nucleolar RNA U13". The record is from Rfam by way of RNAcentral. Lineage: Eukaryota; Metazoa; Chordata; Mammalia; Artiodactyla; Moschidae.
AUCUUUUUGUAGUUCAUGAGCGUGAUGACUGGGUGUUCACGUUGUUGUGUGACAUGUGCUCCCUCCUAAACCUUGUUAGGACACCGGCACAUUACCCAUCAGACU